This 1457-nucleotide ribosomal RNA is filed under the name metagenome. RNAcentral describes it as "bacterial SSU rRNA". It matches the Rfam family "Bacterial small subunit ribosomal RNA". The record is from RNAcentral.
AAAGCUCCAGCUUGCUGGAGCAAGUAAAGUGGCGCACGGGUGAGUAACGCGUGGGUAAUCUACCUUCAAAUCGGGGAUAACACCGCGAAAGCGGAGCUAAUACCGGAUACUAUUUCAAUGUCUAAGGGCGAUGAAAUUAAAGGGGGUCUCUACAUGUAAGCUUCCGUUUGAAGAUGAGCCCGCGUCCCAUUAGCUUGUUGGCGGGGUAACGGCCCACCAAGGCACCGAUGGGUAGCUGGUCUGAGAGGAUGAUCAGCCACACUGGCACUGACACACGGGCCAGACUCCUACGGGAGGCAGCAGUGAGGAAUUUUGCGCAAUGGGGGAAACCCUGACGCAGCAACGCCGCGUGAGUGAUGAAGGCUUUCGGGUCGUAAAACUCUGUCAAGUGGGAAGAAACUGCUUUGUGCGAAUAACACAGAGUACUGACGGUACCACUGAAGGAAGCACCGGCUAACUCCGUGCCAGCAGCCGCGGUAAUACGGAGGGUGCAAGCGUUACUCGGAAUUACUGGGCGUAAAGGGCGCGUAGGCGGUCAAUUAAGUCAGAUGUGAAAGCCCGGGGCUUAACCCCGGAAGUGCAUUUGAAACUGCUUGACUUGAGUAUGGGAGAGGGAAGCGGAAUUCCUGGUGUAGAGGUGAAAUUCGUAGAUAUCAGGAGGAACACCGGUGGCGAAGGCGGCUUCCUGGACCAAUACUGACGCUGAGGCGCGAAGGCGUGGGGAGCAAACAGGAUUAGAUACCCUGGUAGCCCACGCAGUAAACGGUGAACACUAGGUGUAGCGGGUAUUGACCCCUGCUGUGCCGCAGCUAACGCAUUAAGUGUUCCGCCUGGGAAGUACGGCUCAAGGUUAGAACUCAAAGGAAUUGACGGGGGCCCGCACAAGCGGUGGAGCAUGUGGUUUAAUUCGACGCAACGCGAAGAACCUUACCUGGGUUUGACAUCCCGAGAAGUCUCCUGAAAGGGAGAUGUGCCCUUCGGGGAGCUCGGAGACAGGUGCUGCAUGGCUGUCGUCAGCUCGUGUCGUGAGAUGUUGGGUUAAGUCCCGCAACGGGCGCAACCCCUGUCUCUAGUUGCCAGCAUUAAGUUGGGGACUCUAGAGAUACCGCCCCGGUCAACGGGGAGGAAGGUGGGGAUGACGUCAAGUCCUCAUGGCCUUUAUAUCCAGGGCUACACACGUGCUACAAUGGAUUGUACAAAGGGUUGCGAACCUGCGAAGGUAAGCUAAUCCCAAAAACCAGUCCGUAGUUCGGAUUGAAGUCUGCAACUCGACUUCAUGAAGCUGGAAUCGCUAGUAAUCGUGGAUCAGCAUGCCACGGUGAAUACGUUCCCGGGCCUUGUACACACCGCCCGUCACACCAUGAGAGUUGGUUGUACCAGAAGUUGUUGGGCCAACCCGUAAGGGGGGCAGGCACCUAAGGUAUGGCUGAUGAUUGGGGUGAAGUCGUAACAAGGUA